UUCAAUCAUUAAACCAUUCACUCCGUGUGAUAUAAUGUCAUCUUUAAGCCAAAUGCACUAUCUCCUUGAGCUCUAUCUUGUCUUCUUAUGAACUCAGAGUUGUUUGUGUUGUGAAACCAAACACUUAAUUCUCUUUGCUUUCGAUCAUACCAUAUAGUGGCACCAUGCUUUCGGCUACCCACAUAUUGGUUAACGCCAGUUUUAC
RNAcentral lists this long non-coding RNA (205 nucleotides) under Lathyrus oleraceus (garden pea). Its description in RNAcentral is "Pisum sativum (pea) long non-coding RNA (PSAT_LNC009544)". Lineage: Eukaryota; Viridiplantae; Streptophyta; Magnoliopsida; Fabales; Fabaceae. The record is from RNAcentral.